This 326-nucleotide long non-coding RNA is filed under the name Homo sapiens (human). RNAcentral's name for it is "HSALNT0093176". Lineage: Eukaryota; Metazoa; Chordata; Mammalia; Primates; Hominidae. The record is from RNAcentral.
AAAGAAUAGGCGUUCCUUUAAACCAAGUCCAUAAUAAGAGCAGCCUGGUAUUUGGAACACCUACUUAGCUGGAAGCAGCUCCAACAGCAGUUAGAAGUGGGUGUCCUCAACUUGGACUGCCAGGACACAACACCACUUUCUGUCCUGAGAUGACAGACUCACGUGGAGCCACCUCAGUGUGCUGGGAUAAUGAAUUAUUUUCAGGUCCAUGUUUUCCAAGGUACUUCUAGCCCUAUUAUUUUACAUAUGUCUUGAAGAUCGUUCUGCUCAGAGGAACAGAAUUUCAAUUAGAUGUGUUUUUGCCUUCAACAAAAGUUUGAAAUUUU